This 253-nucleotide ribosomal RNA is filed under the name uncultured bacterium. RNAcentral's name for it is "partial 16S ribosomal RNA". It matches the Rfam family "Bacterial small subunit ribosomal RNA", at positions 524 to 776 of the family's 1533-position model. The record is from RNAcentral.
UACGUAGGGGGCAAGCGUUGUCCGGAUUUAUUGGGCGUAAAGAGCGUGUAGGCGGCCAUGUAGGUCCGUUGUGAAAACUCGAGGCUUAACCUCGAGCUGUCGGCGGAAACCAUCUGGCUAGAGUCCGGAAGAGGAGAAUGGAAUUCCCGGUGUAGCGGUGAAAUGCGCAGAUAUCGGGAGGAACACCAGUGGCGAAGGCGACUACCUGGCCUGUUCUUGACGCUGAGGCGCGAAAGCUAGGGGAGCAAACGGG